RNAcentral lists this ribosomal RNA (253 nucleotides) under uncultured bacterium. RNAcentral's name for it is "partial 16S ribosomal RNA". It matches the Rfam family "Bacterial small subunit ribosomal RNA", at positions 524 to 776 of the family's 1533-position model. The record is from RNAcentral.
UACGUAGGGCGCAAGCGUUGUUCGGAUUUACUGGGCGUAAAGGGCGCGUAGGCGGCAAUUCAAGUCAGCUGUGAAAUCUCCGGGCUUAACUCGGAACGGUCAGCUGAUACUGCUUUGCUAGAGUGCGGAAGGGGCAAUCGGAAUUCUCGGUGUAGCGGUGAAAUGCGUAGAUAUCGAGAGGAACACCUGCGGCGAAGGCGGGUUGCUGGGCCGACACUGACGCUGAUGCGCGAAAGCCAGGGGAGCGAACGGG